CAGGGUAAGCUGAUAUCUACAUGUAGCAUCAAGGUACACUCCUGACAUCUACCUGUAGAUUCAGGGUAAGCUGACAUCUACCUGUAGCAUCAAGGUAAGCUGACAUCUACCUGUAGAUUCAAGGUACCGGUAAUCCCUUGACAUCUACCUGUAGCAUCAAGGUAAGCUACUGAUGAAACAUAACAAAGUAUUUCCAUCAAAGCAGUCCACAUAAUGUUCCAUAAUCUUACAAAAUACUUUUUGUUUGAGAGGU
Haliotis rubra (blacklip abalone) is the source of this 253-nucleotide long non-coding RNA. RefSeq lists it as uncharacterized. NCBI's taxonomy places the organism in Eukaryota, Metazoa, Mollusca, Gastropoda, Lepetellida, Haliotidae. The transcript has 3 exons. The record is from RefSeq and is a predicted model, not a curated record.